This is a long non-coding RNA of Bombus impatiens (common eastern bumble bee), 328 nucleotides long. RefSeq lists it as uncharacterized. The transcript is spliced from 3 exons. NCBI's taxonomy places the organism in Eukaryota, Metazoa, Arthropoda, Insecta, Hymenoptera, Apidae. The record is from RefSeq and is a predicted model, not a curated record.
GGGUAAACCAUAAACAAUGUCGAGGCCGAGGCGUCGUCGGGUCCAUCAAUGUGUCAGCGGUCCUUCAAUUAAAUAGUUUCGUUGAAAAGGCCUACGUGACACUGGCCAUGAGUGUUUGCGGAACACGUGCGUGGUGGGCCUAAGAAAAGACCAAGGGAUGCUAGAACAGUCAGUGUCAGUGGAGAAGCCAGAGAGUGUGAAUUGAGAAGCCAGAGAGUGUGGAUUGAGAAGUCAGGGAGAUAGUGUUGCUAGUGCUGUCGAGAGAGAGUGGUCCGCGUGAGAGAGAGCGUUGGAUCCGUGGUGAUGAGAGUUGCAAAUUAACUAAUUU